UGCCGAGCUUGCGAACUGCGAACUUGUGUAACUCCCGGUUCAUCCUCUUUGUUCGGGUCAUUGGGUUGGUGUUGGAGUUGGUCACCAUAUUCUGAACGUUUCACCUAUCAUUGCGGUGUACUGUUCUUGAUUUGCUGCGAAGCGACGAACCGCAACGGCAGUCACUCGCCUCAGCGAACUUCUGUCUGCUGCAUCUCAAAGGAGCAUGGGGACCUGAUGAUACCUUCAACUAAAGAAACCAAAUGUUCUCUCGUGCGUGGUCCUGACGGAAAAGUAGUAUCAACAAGGCUAUGCCGCUCCGAAGCAUUGAGAUGACGAAGCGUCGUGGUAGCUACACCUCUGCCUUCGAAAGAUGAAUCAGUCAUUCCACACUGUGCUUACUGGCUUUGUAUAGAGUCUGGCAAAUCCGACAGACUUGGACUGCCUUUUUCAAGAAAGUUUGAAAUAGCAUCCCUUAUGCACCUGCAUUUCAAUUCCAAUCUGUAUUACAAGAAUGACAGACCACUCAACAGAGAUGAACAUCUGAAAGUGAAAGAUUUGAAUGAAGAUACGUUAAUCUGUGUCAAAGGUUCUUAGUAUGUGUGCGAGUGGAGGACAUAGGUCUCAAGCUCAUUCCUGUCUUCAGAAGAGGUGACAACUAUGCUCCUUCUAUCUAUUAACCAGCUCCACCUUUUUGGGUUCCCUGUAAACUAAUGGAGCACAUCAUGUACUACCACGUUGUCAACCAAGUUGAGUCUGUCGAUUUCUUUUUUUAAAUUCCAGCAUGGGUUUAGAAAGGGGUAUUCGGGCAAAACUAACGUAGUGGAAUUCGUUCACAGCAUUUCAAACUGUCUUGAUUUCUGGGUCCACGUAGAUGUAGUAUUCUUUUUAUUUUGUAAGGGCUUUUGACACUGUGCUCUAUGCUCGCGUGUUGGCCAAAGUAGCCUAAUUAAAAUUUGAUCCUGCUACCUGGAUAUGCAGUUUCUCAACUAACCGUAACCGUGGCGACAACUCGUGAGGAGAACCUAUCAUAUCGCCACCAUGCAGCAUUUGUUAUGUUACAAUCGCUUCACAUUUUAAUCUAGUCAAAAGCAAGGCCUUUUGGUGAUCGGUCUUGUAUGAUUACGUGCCCCUCCGUUAUGUAACACCACACUGGGUUCUUCAACCUAUGAGAGAUAAAUAAAUAUAUUGCCAAGUAAAUUGUCUACAAGGCUCGUUAUUCCAUUUCGCCACACUACCACAAACAAUUGUUAGAGUAGUGGCCCAGGGUAUGAAGCUCGCCACUAAUCAUCACUCAAACAAAGUUCAUAAUGUAAAAUCCUUUAUUCAGAACACUGGCUUAACACAACAAUUAAGAAUAAAGAGAGUAAACGUUUCAUUGCCUAUCCAGGUGGCAUCAUCCCUCCAACAGAGAACAAUCAAAAACAACAUCAAAGGAGUCAAAUCAGUGGUCCGCAUUCCUUUCAUCCAACGUAUUUCAUACGCUAUUUGGAGGGCACUGUGCCCAUCAGGCAUUUUGACUGUGCAUAUCAAGUUGAGUGCAUAGAAUGUGAUGCAACCUACAUUGGCGAGAUAGACAAAAGACGUGGGACAAGACUAAAAGAGCCAGUUGCCAGGGCUACUAAUGCUUAGCUUAACUAAACAGGACCGAAUCAGUCUACCACUGCUGUCCUAAGGGACAUAUAUUUUGAUGGUGCAGUAACCUUUGCUCAUGACUAGCGAUGGGGCCCUAGAAAGUUCUUAGAAUCCUGCUUUAUCAGGCGUGAUGCUUCAGCCUGUAAUACAUACCGUGGCCCCCUAUCGGAUGUGUAAGAUUCCCUGUUAGAUAGGCUGAUGUGCUCAUCUUUGGCCUCUGUUGUACUGAUGAUGCCACCCGGAUAGGCGACAAAAUGUUUACGCUCUGUUUUUAUUCGUUGUGUUGAGCGGUGUUUGCAGUAAAGGACGCUACAUUAUGAGGUUGUCACCCUGCUUUUGAAAUAUAUUUUCAAAUAAAGUUGUUGUUUUACAAAGCUCAAUACA
Long non-coding RNA from Ornithodoros turicata, 1998 nucleotides. RefSeq lists it as uncharacterized. The transcript has 3 exons. Lineage: Eukaryota; Metazoa; Arthropoda; Arachnida; Ixodida; Argasidae. The record is from RefSeq and is a predicted model, not a curated record.